UCCUACGGGGGGCUGCAGUAGGGAAUAUUGCACAAUGGGCGAAAGCCUGAUGCAGCAACGCCGCGUGCGCGAAGAAGGUCUUCGGAUCGUAAAGCGCUUUUCGGGGAGAUGAGGAAGGACAGUAUCCCCGGAAUAAGGCUCGGCUAACUACGUGCCAGCAGCCGCGGUAAAACGUAGGAGCCAAGCGUUAUCCGAAUUCACUGGGCGUAAAGCGCGUGCAGGCGGCCUGGUAAGUUGGAUGUGAAAUCUCCUGGCUCAAAUGGGAGAGGCCGUUCAAUACUGUCAGGCUAGAGGGCGACAGAGGGAGGUAGAAUUCCGGGUGUAGUGGUGAAAUGCGUAGAUAUCCGGAGGAAUACCAGAGGCGAAGGCGACCUCCUGGGUCGUACCUGACGCUCAGAUGCGAAAGCUAGGGGAGCGAACGGGAUUAGAUACCCUUGUAGUC
This 442-nucleotide ribosomal RNA is filed under the name uncultured bacterium. RNAcentral describes it as "bacterial SSU rRNA". It matches the Rfam family "Bacterial small subunit ribosomal RNA", at positions 337 to 795 of the family's 1533-position model. The record is from RNAcentral.